GCCUUCGUGGCGCAAUUGGAUAGCGCGUUGGACUUCUAAUCCAAAGGUUGCGGGUUCGAAUCCCGCCGGAGGUACU
RNAcentral lists this transfer RNA (76 nucleotides) under Plasmodium yoelii yoelii. Its description in RNAcentral is "tRNA-Arg". It matches the Rfam family "tRNA". From Rfam's summary of the family: Transfer RNA (tRNA) molecules are approximately 80 nucleotides in length. Lineage: Eukaryota; Apicomplexa; Aconoidasida; Haemosporida; Plasmodiidae. The record is from RNAcentral.